UACGUAGGGGGCGAGCGUUAUCCGGAUUCAUUGGGCGUAAAGCGCGCGUAGGCGGCCGCCUAAGCGGAGCCUCUAACCCCGGGGCUCAACCUCGGGCCGGGUUCCGGACUGGGCGGCUCGAGUGCGGUAGAGGAGAGCGGAAUUCCCGGUGUAGCGGUGGAAUGCGCAGAUAUCGGGAAGAACACCGAUGGCGAAGGCAGCUCUCUGGGCCGUCACUGACGCUGAGGCGCGAAAGCUGGGGGAGCGAACAGG
Molecule: ribosomal RNA, 252 nt
Filed under: uncultured bacterium
Lineage: Bacteria
Description: partial 16S ribosomal RNA
Rfam family: Bacterial small subunit ribosomal RNA
Source: RNAcentral